RNAcentral lists this long non-coding RNA (373 nucleotides) under Homo sapiens (human). RNAcentral's name for it is "HSALNT0145098". Lineage: Eukaryota; Metazoa; Chordata; Mammalia; Primates; Hominidae. The record is from RNAcentral.
AAGCUUUGGAAGGAUUCUGAGAGAAGGUGGGACUUCAGGUGCCCUUUCAGGAAUAAAUGAGGUUCGGGGCCAAUGAGAUGUGAACGUCCCAUAGAUGGACACUAUCCUCAUCACUAAGUGCAGCACCCAACUACGAGGCAGCUGUGCUGGGUGGGUGUGCAUGCAGAGAAAAGGACAAUCCUGAAGCAUUUAAGGCCUGGAGAAUGCAUCUCCUUAAAUUGAAAACGUUGAUCCUCACCAGCCUUCCCCAGACUCCUCUUUUUCAUCUAACUUUUCAGCAGCCAGUACAGGAGCUAAUGGGCUUUUACCACUUUUAAACUCAACAUACUAAUUAUAGUUCAAAGAACCACGUGCAGAUUCAAGCAUUUUUCCC